AGUGAACGCUGGCGGUAGGCCUAACACAUGCAAGUCGAACGGCAGCACAGUAAGAGCUUGCUCUUACGGGUGGCGAGUGGCGGACGGGUGAGGAAUACAUCGGAAUCUACUUUUUCGUGGGGGAUAACGUAGGGAAACUUACGCUAAUACCGCAUACGACCUACGGGUGAAAGCAGGGGAUCUUCGGACCUUGCGCGAUUGAAUGAGCCGAUGUCGGAUUAGCUAGUUGGCGGGGUAAAGGCCCACCAAGGCGACGAUCCGUAGCUGGUCUGAGAGGAUGAUCAGCCACACUGGCACUGAGACACGUUCCCGACUCCUACGGGAGGCAGCAGUGGGGAAUAUUGGACAAUGGGCGCAAGCCUGAUCCAGCCAUACCGCGUGGGUGAAGAAGGCCUUCGGGUUGUAAAGCCCUUUUAUUGGGAAAGAAAAGCAGCAGGUUAAUACCCCGCUGUUCUGACGGUACCCAAAGAAUAAGCACCGGCUAACUUCGUG
RNAcentral lists this ribosomal RNA (492 nucleotides) under uncultured bacterium. Its description in RNAcentral is "partial 16S ribosomal RNA". It matches the Rfam family "Bacterial small subunit ribosomal RNA", at positions 29 to 507 of the family's 1533-position model. The record is from RNAcentral.